UACGUAGGGUGCGAGCGUUAAUCGGAAUUACUGGGCGUAAAGCGUGCGCAGGCGGGCUUUUAAGCCAGACGUGAAAUCCCCGGGCUUAACCUGGGAAUGGCGUUUGGGACUGGGAGUCUGGAGUGCGGCAGAGGAGACUGGAAUUCCUGGUGUAGCAGUGAAAUGCGUAGAUAGUGAUAGGAAGGCCAACGACGAAGGUAAUCUUCUGGACUAAUACUGACGCUGAGGCGCGAAAGCUAGGGGAGCAAACAGG
RNAcentral lists this ribosomal RNA (253 nucleotides) under uncultured bacterium. RNAcentral's name for it is "partial 16S ribosomal RNA". It matches the Rfam family "Bacterial small subunit ribosomal RNA", at positions 524 to 776 of the family's 1533-position model. The record is from RNAcentral.